UGGCCACAUCAUAAUUAAACUCCGCUUCAUAUAUGAUCACCAAAAUUAAACAACAUUGAGCCUGGUCAGUAUCUGGAUGAGUGACCACUUGGGAAUACCAGGUGUUGUAAG
Non-coding RNA from Acanthosepion pharaonis, 111 nucleotides. NCBI's taxonomy places the organism in Eukaryota, Metazoa, Mollusca, Cephalopoda, Sepiida, Sepiidae. The record is from the annotation of a GenBank genome assembly.